RNAcentral lists this ribosomal RNA (465 nucleotides) under uncultured bacterium. Its description in RNAcentral is "partial 16S ribosomal RNA". It matches the Rfam family "Bacterial small subunit ribosomal RNA", at positions 338 to 795 of the family's 1533-position model. The record is from RNAcentral.
CCUACGUGAGGCAGCAGUAGGGAAUCUUCCACAAUGGACGAAAGCCUGAUGGAGCAACGCCGCGUGGGUGAAGAAGGUCUUCGGAUCGUAAAACCCUGUUGUUAGAGAAGAAAGAGCGUGAGAGUAACUGUUCACGUUUCGACGGUAUCUAACCAGAAAGCCACGGCUAACUACGUGCCAGCAGCCGCGGUAAUACGUAGGUGGCAAGCGUUAUCCGGAUUUAUUGGGCGUAAAGGGAACGCAGGCGGUCUUUUAAGUCUGAUGUGAAAGCCCUCGGCUUAACCGGAGUAGGUCAUUGGAAACUGGGAGACUUGAGUGCAGAAGAGGAGAGUGGAACUCCAUGUGUAGCGGUGAAAUGCGUAGAUAUAUGGAAGAACACCAGUGGCGAAAGCGGCUCUCUGGUCUGUAACUGACGCUGAGGUUCGAAAGCGUGGGUAGCAAACAGGAUUAGAUACCCUGGUAGUC